RNAcentral lists this ribosomal RNA (458 nucleotides) under uncultured bacterium. Its description in RNAcentral is "partial 16S ribosomal RNA". It matches the Rfam family "Bacterial small subunit ribosomal RNA", at positions 338 to 795 of the family's 1533-position model. The record is from RNAcentral.
CCUACGGGGUGCAGCAGUGAGGAAUAUUGGUCAAUGGGCGAGAGCCUGAACCAGCCAAGUCGCGUGAGGGAGUACUGCCCUAUGGGUUGUAAACCUCUUUUGUCGGGGAGCAAAAGCCGGACGUGUCCGGCUGUGAGAGUACCCGAAGAAAAAGCAUCGGCAAACUCCGUGCCAGCAGCCGCGGUAAUACGGGGGAUGCGAGCGUUAUCCGGGUUUAUUGGGUUUAAGGGGUGCGCAGGCGGAUUUUUAAGUCAGCGGUAAAAUCGUGGGGCUCAACCCCAUCCAGCCGUUGAAACUGGGGAUCUAGAGUGUGCGAGAGGUAUGCGGAAUGCGUGGUGUAGCGGUGAAAUGCAUAGAUAUCACGCAGAACCCCGAUUGCGAAGGCAGCAUACCGGUGCACAACUGACGCUCAGGCACGAAAGCGUGGGUAUCGAACAGGAUUAGAUACCCUUGUAGUC